This 248-nucleotide unclassified non-coding RNA is filed under the name uncultured fungus. RNAcentral describes it as "partial contains 5.8S ribosomal RNA, internal transcribed spacer 2, and large subunit ribosomal RNA". Lineage: Eukaryota; Fungi. RNAcentral also lists the same sequence under 1 other name. The record is from RNAcentral.
AACGCACAUUGCGCCCCUCGGUAUUCCUUGGGGCAUGCCUGUUCGAGCGUCAUCUAAACCCUCAAGCUCUGCUUGGUGUUGGGUGCCUGUCCCGCCUCCGCGCGUGGACUCACCUCAAAUCUAUUGGCGGCCCUCGUGCCGGCCCCGAGCGCAGCAGAAACGCGGUCUCGUGGCCCGGCGGAGGUGCCCCCAGAAGCAACAUUCACCGUUUUGACCUCGGAUCAGGUAGGGAUACCCGCUGAACUUAA